CUUUGCUAUAAUCAUGUGAUAAACGAGAUAAGAAAUAUUAAAUCAUACAAAUGUUGAAAAUGUGCGAAAAACGAGAUCAGAAUACUUAUAUUGUACAAAUUAUCACAAGAAAUACAGUAUUAUAAACAAGCACAUAAAAGAUACAAGUGACCAAUGAAAAAUUCACAUUUGUUUUCAAUAGUUGAUGAUAAUUUAUUUUACUUCAUUAUUCACAAAUUCUCCACAAGAAUUGUAAUUUUCAAACUAUAUUAUAUAAAAUGCAUGCCUUGCAUAUCAUUAAUUGAAAUGAUUAUGUUCUUGUUACACAACUAUAAUACAUUAAUAUGUGUACAUAAUCUACACAAGAGUAAUAAUUGAUGUUAUACACUCUUUUAUAGUGUGUGUGUUCCUAAAAAUAAAAUGUACAAAUUACUUCUUAGUCUAGCGAAUUUUCAUAAUAUUUACAUGAUUUUCUCUAAACAAUAAAAUGAAAACAACAUGUUAUGAAUUUCCUGCAUCCAAAGUGCUUUUCUGGAAUUUCCUUCAUCAGGAAUGCAUAAAUCAGAGAAUUUGAAAGCCAAGAAUUUAAAAAUCAAAAACAAUUAAAGGGCUUUAUUCUUCAUAUAAUGAAGUUUUAUUUAUUUUGGUUGGUAUCAUUUUUUCUGGAUUAAAGAAAAAAUGCAUUGAAGAGAAAUUUGAUUUCACGGAUUGUGAAUAUUUUCAUACAAGCCUAUAUACAAUUCAUACUUAGUUCCAAAGUCUGUAUUUAUUGCUUAAAUGACUUAUAGAAAAUGAAAACCAAUGGUAUACAGUUGAAUCAUAAAACAAUCAUGCAUAUACAGGAGAGACUCAUCUCAUAAGAGACAGUUUGUUUUUUAAUUGGAUAUGGUCUACAUGUGAAAACUACUGAUUGUAAAAUGUAAAAGAACCAAACUUCAAAUAAAACUAACAUCAGACACUAUUAUGUACUACAUAAAUGAGUAAAAAAGACAAAGAUCUAAAAUGAAAAUGAAAAGUCAGUUUUGAUUAUAAAAGGAGAUAAAUCUAAA
RNAcentral lists this long non-coding RNA (1028 nucleotides) under Mytilus galloprovincialis (Mediterranean mussel). Lineage: Eukaryota; Metazoa; Mollusca; Bivalvia; Mytilida; Mytilidae. The record is from RNAcentral.